AAACCGCUUAGGGGUUAAGCCCGAUGAACCUGAAUAUCCGAAAUGGAAAAUUCAAUAAUGUUUUUCGAAUAUUUUUCAUUAAAUGUUUGAACGUUAUGCACUUUUUCCAUAGUAGGACAUUGCAAUUUAUUAACAUAUACUAUCCUUCGGGAUAGUUACAUUUAUUAAACGGCCCUAUAUAUGCAAGUUUAUUCAAUACCUUUGGUUUAUUCUAAAGUGCUAUGGUUUAAUGCAUAAUGGUGUUUCCUAAUAAAUGGUUGAUAAAUUUAUAAAUCUUAAAUUGCACAGACAUAGCGAUAUGUAAUUCACGGUACAUUUCAAUUAUUGAUUUGUAUGCAGUGUUUGUGUUUAUUUGAUUUGCAAUGCGAUAGAUUUGGGAUACCUUCGGGACCCGUCUUGUAACACGGACCAAGAAGUCUAACAUGUGUGCAAGUCAUUGGGUAUGUGUGUUGAAACCUAAAGGCGAAAUUAAAAUAACUAUUUUAAUGGGAUUAUAAGCGAUUAAAUACGUUAAACUAUUUAUCGUUUUUCCAUCCCGGGGCGUUCAUAUAUAAACAUGGUUUAAGCAAUUAAACUCUCUGUUUGUGAGCGUACCUUGAGCAUACAUGCUGUGACCCGAAAGAUGGUGAACUAUGCCUGAUCAAGUUGAAGUCAGGGGAAACCCUGAUGGAGGACUGAAGCAGUUCUGACGUGCAAAUCGAUUGUCAGAAUUGGGUAUAGGGGCGAAAGACCAAUCGAACCAUCUAGUAGCUGGUUCCCUCCGAAGUUUCCCUCAGGAUAGCUGGUGCAAUGAGAAAUCUUAUAUAUAAUCUUAUCUGGUAAAGCGAAUGAUUAGAGGCCUUGGGGUCGAAACGACCUCAACCUAUUCUCAAACUUUAAAUGGGUAAGAACCUCAUCUUUCUUGAUGUGAAGAUAUAGAGGUUGAGAUAUAUUGUGCCCAGUGGGCCACUUUUGGUAAGCAGAACUGGCGCUGUGGGAUGAACCAAACGCAAUGUUACGGCGCCAAAAUUAAUGACUCAUAUUGACACCAUGAAAGGCGUUGGUUGCUUAAAACAGCAGGACGGUGGACAUGGAAGUCGUAAUCCGCUAAGGAGUGUGUAACAACUCACCUGCCGAAGCAACUAGCCCUUAAAAUGGAUGGCGCUCAAGUCAUAUGCCUAUACAUUGCCGUUAGAAUACAUAAGAUUUGUUUGUUUUUUUUAAACAAGUUUUUUGAAAUUCUAAUGAGUAGGAGGGUACAAUGGUGUGCGCAGAAGUGUUUGGCGUAAGCCUGCAUGGAGCCGCCAUUGGCACAGAUCUUGGUGGUAGUAGCAAAUAAUCGAAUGAGACCUUGGAGGACUGAAGUGGAGAAGGGUUUCGUGUGAACAGUGGUUGAUCACGAGUUAGUCGGUCCUAAGCUCUAAGCGAAUGCUGUUUAAUUUAUGUU
RNAcentral lists this ribosomal RNA (1426 nucleotides) under Ditomyia fasciata. RNAcentral's name for it is "partial 28S ribosomal RNA". It matches the Rfam family "Eukaryotic large subunit ribosomal RNA", at positions 402 to 1578 of the family's 3401-position model. The record is from RNAcentral. Lineage: Eukaryota; Metazoa; Arthropoda; Insecta; Diptera; Ditomyiidae.